AACGCGAAGAACCUUACCUGGAUUUGACAUCCUACGAAUAUUACAGAGAUGUAAUAGGCUCGCAAGAGACGUAGAGACAGGUGCUGCAUGGCUGUCGUCAGCUCGUGUUGUGAAAUGUUGGGUUAAGUCCCGCAACGAGCGCAACCCCUGCCUUUGGUUGCCAUCAUUAAGUUGGGCACUCCAGAGGGACUGCCGUCGUCAAGACGGAGGAAGGUGGGGACGACGUCAAGUCCUCAUGGCCUUUAUAUCCAGGGCGACACACGUGAUACAAUGGUAGGUACAGAGGGAAGCGAAGGGGUGACCUGGAGCAAAUCCCAAAAAGCCUAUCUCAGUUCGGAUUGGAGUCUGCAAUUCGACUCCAUGAAGUUGGAAUCGCUAGUAAUCGCGGAUCAGCACGCCGCGGUGAAUACGUUCCCGGGCCUUGUACACACCGUGUCCGA
Molecule: ribosomal RNA, 440 nt
Filed under: uncultured bacterium
Lineage: Bacteria
Description: bacterial SSU rRNA
Rfam family: Bacterial small subunit ribosomal RNA
Source: RNAcentral